GAUGUACGCUGGCGGCGUGCCUAAUACAUGCAAGUCGAGCGAACGGACGAGAAGCUUGCUUCUCUGAUGUUAGCGGCGGACGGGUGAGUAACACGUGGAUAACCUACCUAUAAGACUGGGAUAACUUCGGGAAACCGGAGCUAAUACCGGAUAAUAUUUUGAACCGCAUGGUUCAAAAGUGAAAGACGGUCUUGCUGUCACUUAUAGAUGGAUCCGCGCUGCAUUAGCUAGUUGGUAAGGUAACGGCUUACCAAGGCAACGAUGCAUAGCCGACCUGAGAGGGUGAUCGGACACACUGGAACUGAGACACGGUCCAGACUCCUACGGGAGGCAGCAGUAGGGAAUCUUCCGCAAUGGGCGAAAGCCUGACGGAGCAACGCCGCGUGAGUGAUGAAGGUCUUCGGAUCGUAAAACUCUGUUAUUAGGGAAGAACAUAUGUGUAAGUAACUGUGCACGUCUUGACGGUACCUAAUCAGAAAGCCACGGCUAACUACGUG
Molecule: ribosomal RNA, 497 nt
Filed under: uncultured bacterium
Lineage: Bacteria
Description: partial 16S ribosomal RNA
Rfam family: Bacterial small subunit ribosomal RNA
Source: RNAcentral